GUCUACCAGCUUGAAUCUCGUGCCGUAUUGUGCAAAUAGACAAGUGUAGACUACAUUUUUUUCAGAAAAAUUCUAACUGCUCAUUUCUAAACUGCAUGAAACAGUGGUUUGCUGUGAAUCUUUACCCUCUAGCACUCUAGCACUGUUUAGAUAUUAACCCAAAGCACAAUUGGAUGUGGCAGUCUCAGACUGUGACUUGAAGCAAGCACUCUUCAUGUUUAUAAGAGGAUGAUCAAGUCACAUGCUAACAAACUGUGGAAGUUACCAAGUUACCAAAAUGGUCACAAUACAUGAGGAUGGAUACAAAACAGUACAAUUUUGCCUUCAUUAUGAAACAUCGAGUGUGUCUUCCUCUGAUAACCUGAGUAGGCAUUAGGCAGUUCCACUAGCUGAAGUGUUGACAACAUGAAGACCGUUUAUAUUAUUACACCCGCGACAAUCGGUCGAUCCUUGAGGCGGUUUGCGUCUAUGCAGCCAUAUUAGUCAAAGCUCAUUUCCGCCCACCUGUCUGGCGGCCUCUCAGACAAGGGGAAGCAACGCCAGCUCAGACUCAUACCUGCAAGCCCAUUCCUGUCAAGUAGGAAACCUGUUCUUCCUGGUGCAGUUCCCGAACGCCGUCUCACAGCAGGAAAAAAAAGACAUUGACAAUGAGUAGAACUGGAGUAGUAGUCGGUCUGCUUUUGGUGGCACUGCUGCUAACCUCCACAACGUCUAAUCCAGUAAAGAAAGGUGACAAUCUUCUUGAACUAAUCAAAAAGAGAGCUUUUGUCCGGUCAGGUUGCUGCUCUUGUUGUUGUCAUUGUUGCUGUUCUUGCUGCAACGGCAAUGGGACUGUGCUGGCAUGAAAUUAAAGACUCCGGGUCCUGUACCAAGAGUACGCCACACCACGAUCUAGAAUCUAAAAAUUACACCAACCAAAGCAUCGUAGAGACCAAUGGUUUAUUUCGUUGUUGGAGAUAUUAUAGAGACUUAUAGCACAACUAAAAAAAAUUAGUAUCUUGUGGUUAUUCGGUAAAAAUUUGCCACCUAAACCACUAAAUAUAAAGAAAGUGUCAAUAACUUUUAGUGAUCGCCAGUGUAUUUUUAAAACGCUUGCAAAUCAGGUCACAAGAAAUUUGCUUUUAGAAAACUGUUUAGACAACAUAUUCAUGAAGCAAUAAAACGGAUGUAAACAGAA
Molecule: long non-coding RNA, 1177 nt
Filed under: Pomacea canaliculata
Lineage: Eukaryota; Metazoa; Mollusca; Gastropoda; Architaenioglossa; Ampullariidae
Description: uncharacterized LOC112556495, transcript variant X1
Source: RNAcentral